GACGAACGCUGGCGGCGUGCUUAACACAUGCAAGUCGAACGGAAAGGCCCUGCUUUUGUGGGGUGCUCGAGUGGCGAACGGGUGAGUAACACGUGAGUAACCUGCCCUUGACUUUGUGAUAACUUCAGGAAACUGGGGCUAAUACCGGAUAGGAGCUCCUGCUGCAUGGUGUGGGUUGGAAAGUUUCGGCGGUUGGGGAUGGACUCGCGGCUUAUCAGCUUGUUGGUGGGGUAGUGGCUUACCAAGGCUUUGACGGGUAGCCGGCCUGAGAGGGUGACCGGCCACAUUGGGACUGAGAUACGGCCCAGACUCCUACGGGAGGCAGCAGUGGGGAAUAUUGCACAAUGGGCGGAAGCCUGAUGCAGCAACGCCGCGUGCGGGAUGACGGCCUUCGGGUUGUAAACCGCUUUCGCCUGUGACGAAGCGUGAGUGACGGUAAUGGGUAAAGAAGCACCGGCUAACUACGUG
RNAcentral lists this ribosomal RNA (468 nucleotides) under uncultured bacterium. Its description in RNAcentral is "partial 16S ribosomal RNA". It matches the Rfam family "Bacterial small subunit ribosomal RNA", at positions 28 to 507 of the family's 1533-position model. The record is from RNAcentral.